AGUACACCAAGAUGCUGGUUGGGUUGGGAGUGCUAUGGACUAGGUCAAGUGCCUGUUGAACAGCUAAAUGUAGUUGGCCAAGCAAGGACAUGGGGCAGUUGUGCAGAGAGAAGCAGGCAUGUAACGUGGAUGAGCCAUAUGAACGACAGACCUCUAGAGCAGAGAGGUUCAUGCUACAGCUAGACAUUUCCUCAAGCUCCAGAGGCCCAACCCAAGCAACCCUUUCCAUAGAUUCCAUUUAAUUUGUGCUUCAUCCCCUCAGAGGGGUUGGGGUUGUAGUGAUGAACCACCACACUUGACAUUACUAUUUGGGAAGGUCACCAGCCUUCUCAUACUGAAGGGGAAGAGCCAAGCCUUCGUUGAAAUAUACAUGCAAGAGGUUGCUGACACCACACGUAUCAGUGCCAUGCUGCCAGUCCAACUAUGUCUAGUUCUUCAAGCACAAGGUGCUCAAGACCAAUAGCUCCCCACACAAGGUGCAUGCCAAUCGGGUAAUCUUACAGGUGGUGAAGUCAGUACAUUUGAGAAACCUGGUCUUCAUGGGCUCCAGUGGCCCACGUACACCAAGAUGGUGAUGGUUGACCAGAACGCCGAACUCAGGAUCAUCAUGGGAAAAUCUCUGCUACUCAGUGAUCCUGGAUGCUCUGCAGCAGGCCUUCUUCAAGUGUGGCACUGUCCUCAGUAUCAUCAUCUUCACUAAGACCAUUUCCAGGCGUACUAUCAGCAGCAGUUGCAACUGCAUCAUCAUUUCAAGUCUGAAGGUGUCAGGGAUUCCAUCUUGCUGGCCGGAAACCUGAACACAAGAAGGCACAGAGCCAAGCCCCUUUAUUCUCUUCAGUAUCUAUGGUUAUGUGAAGCAGGUGAAGAUCUUGUUCAACAAGGAGAAGACAGCAGGUAGGCCCAGCUGGCCAUGAGGCACCCAAACAAACUACAUGGGGAGCCAAUGCGUAUUACAACAUCAAAGCACCAGAGUGUGCAGCUGCCUUGUGAGGGCCAGGAAAACUGGCUUCACCAAAAACGCUGAUAGCUCACCAGUGCACUGCUUCAAGAAGCUGGGCCCCAAGUUCUUUAAGAAUUUCUUCCUGUUCUCAGCCACCCGGCAACUCACCAACAUCCCUUCUUCAGUGUCAGAGCAGUUCCUCAAGAACUUCUCAAGCAACAAGGGCAUGACCAAGGGCUUAUAAUUCUUUCAGGGACUGCAGCCCUGACUUCAUGCUCUCUGUCCCAUCCAUCAUCCCUACUAGAAGAACUAUGUGAUGGUUCUGAUCCAGAUAAGUUUGUUGGAGGAGGAAGUGCAGGCACCCAUUAAGCUGCAAAUCCACGACCAAAGCAUCCCUGAACAAAAAGAACAAUGCUGAUGGGAUUGUUACUCCAGAAUUCAGGAUAUAUUAUAGAUCUCUAGUAAUGAAAAUAUGGCGCUGACACCAAACAGACAUGUAUGUCAAUGGGACAAAAUAGAAGACCCAAACAUGAGUAUUUGUAACUGCAGCCAUCUGCUAUUUGAUAAAGAGGCAAAAAACAUACCCUGGAGAAAAGACAGAGCAUCUUCAACAAGUGGUGGUUAAAGCUGAAGACUGUAUGGCGACAUGCAGAUGAAUGGAUCGGACUCAUACCUGUCCAAUCAUACCAAACAUUAGAUCCAAGUGUACCAAUGACUUCAACUUGAAACCCACAACAUCAAAGCUGCUGGAAGUAAACAUAUGCAGUUUCCUUCAAGAGAUAGAUGAAGGGAAGGACCUUCUCAACAGGACCACAUUUGUUUAGGAAUUAAGGUCAGCAAUUGACAACAGGGACCUCAUAAAACUGAAGAGCUUUUUGUGCAGCUAAGGAAAUAAUCAAGUGAAGAGGAAGCCCACAGAAUGGGAGAGGGUCAUUGCCAGCUACACAUCUGUCAGAGGGCUAAUAUCUACAAUAUAUGAGGAACUCAAAGAACAAAGAGUCAAGGAAACAAACAACCCAAUUAAAAAGUGGGUGGGGGAUGUAGACAAUUUCAACAGAAAAAUAGAAAGGGCUAAGAAAUACUUCAGAAAAAGUGUCCAACUUCCUUAGCAGUUAGGGUAAUGUAAACUAACCCAACGUUGACAAUUCUUAACGAGACAGUAGACAACAAAUGCUGCUGCAGAUAAGUCAGCGGGAAUGCCAACUAGCACAGCCACUCUGAAAGUCAAGUAGGAGGAUCCUCAAAAAGCUAAAAAUAGCUCUACAAAAUAAUUCCAGCUCUACCCCUUCGGCAUAUGCCCAAGGGGUAUCCUCCUCUACAGAUACUUGCCCGGCUCUGUUCACUGUUGCUCUAUAGCUAGGAAAUGGAAACAAAUCAGAUGUCUGACAACUGACAAUUGAAUAAUGAAGAUAUGGUCCCAGAAGGUCUAAGAAUCCAGUAGUUGUUCAGUGCCAGAGGCUGGAUAUCUCAGCCGAUCUUCAGAAUAUAUCAGAGCCCUGGCAAAGUAGGCUCUAAUGCUCGUAAAGGGAUGGACUUGCUAACAAGACGAGAGCAAGCACACAAGGAAAGAGCAAGCUGCCUUCUUCGAUGUCCUUCCUAUAGGCUUCCAACAGAGGGUGUGGCCCAGGUUAAAGAAAGAAGCAUCAGCUGGGUUGAGCCUGGAUUCAGUAAGCUGUUUCCUAUGGAGGAUGGGAGGGCACAUUAAAAUACAUGGAACCAGCAUUCAAGCAAUGGAAUUGCAAUGUCACUUCCUCCCACUCUACAACCACUCUCCUUUGACUAUAAUAUACAUCUCAAUCCUGAAACUUGUUUUUUUAAUGGUGAUAACAAAGAGACCACAAGAAGAUCCAAGAUCAGAAUUAGGCCCUGCACCAACUCACUGCUUCUAUUUUGCCCCCCCAAAGACAGUCACCCUAAGAACAAAUGCCAGCCCUUGUUCAAUCCUGAACAUGUGCAAGUUACAGUUUUAUGUACGGCCAGCCUGGCUAUCGGAACAAUAAUUGUCCCAGAGCAAGGCUUCCUGUUCUUAUGCUUUGCCCAGUAAAUAAAUCAGAUACAUGUCCA
This is a long non-coding RNA of Rattus rattus (black rat), 3004 nucleotides long. RefSeq lists it as uncharacterized. NCBI's taxonomy places the organism in Eukaryota, Metazoa, Chordata, Mammalia, Rodentia, Muridae. The transcript is spliced from 5 exons. The record is from RefSeq and is a predicted model, not a curated record.